AGUUAUUUACCUUUUGUUUCAGGGUUUUUUUAUUUGUAAAAUAUAGAGAUCUUGAUUGAUUUAGGGCUAAAUGUAUAUAUUUAUGUUAAAAAUAAGUUAAAUUGUUUAGUGGUAAAAUUUUAUCGGUGAGUCUGGUAUCUAGUUAAAUUUAAUAGACUUUAGGUCUACUGUCGGUGACAGGUGUGGUAUAAGGGUAAUCUUUAUAUUAAAUUAAACUGUGUAUUAUUUCGUUAAAACUGAGCUUUAAAUUUGCUAUGUUACAUAGUUUGUUAAAAAUAAUAAUUUUAGUUGUUUAUAGUGUUUAUUAUUAGUUUAUUGUUCCGUAGUUUAUAGAAAUAUUUAUAAUGAAGGAAUUAGUAUUUUUGAGAGGUGUAUAAAAGGAACUCAGUGUAUUUUUGAUAGUUUAACAAAAACAUUUUUUUACUAGAGUGUAAAAUAAGGCCUGCCCAGUGAAAUUUAAACGGCUGCGGUACUCUGACCGUGCUAAGGUAGCAUAAUCACUUGGUUUUUAAUAGGGACCUGGAAUGAAAGGUCAAACAAAUAUUAUUUUCUUUUUUGUAAGGAGUGAAUUUAAGGUUUAAGUAAAAACGCUUAAGACAUUUGUGUGACGAUAAGACCCUAAAAGCUUUAUUUUUAAAUUUGGUAUAUUUUUAAUAGUUAAAAUUGUAGAUAAUUGGUUGGGGUAAUAACUCUAAAAAAAUUAGGGUAGUUUAAAUAAGAAUAAUUAAAUUUAGAUCCUUAUUAUUAGGAUAAUAGUUGUAGUUACUUUAGGGGUAACAGGGUAAUUAUUUUAUGGAGUUCUUAUCUACAAAAUAGAUUGCUACCUCGAUGUUGAAUUAAAAUUUCUACGUGAUGCAAAAGAUGCGUUAGAGGGUUUGUUCAACC
This 885-nucleotide ribosomal RNA is filed under the name Jesogammarus debilis. RNAcentral describes it as "partial 16S ribosomal RNA". The stretch from base 396 to 541 matches the Rfam family "Archaeal large subunit ribosomal RNA", at positions 1888 to 2085 of the family's 2987-position model. The record is from RNAcentral. Lineage: Eukaryota; Metazoa; Arthropoda; Malacostraca; Amphipoda; Anisogammaridae.